This 74-nucleotide transfer RNA is filed under the name Schistocerca piceifrons (Central American locust). Its description in RNAcentral is "tRNA-Asn". It matches the Rfam family "tRNA". From Rfam's summary of the family: Transfer RNA (tRNA) molecules are approximately 80 nucleotides in length. Their secondary structure includes four short double-helical elements and three loops (D, anti-codon, and T loops). Lineage: Eukaryota; Metazoa; Arthropoda; Insecta; Orthoptera; Acrididae. RNAcentral also lists the same sequence under 1 other name. The record is from RNAcentral.
GCCUCCGUGGCGCAAUCGGCUAGCGCGUUCGGCUGUUAACCGAAAGGUUGGUGGUUCGAGCCCACCCGGGGGGA